UUUAUGGAGAGUUUGAUCCUGGCUCAGGAUGAACGCUGGCGGCGUGCCUAAUACAUGCAAGUCGAGCGAACGGACGAGAAGCUUGCUUCUCUGAUGUUAGCGGCGGACGGGUGAGUAACACGUGGAUAACCUACCUAUAAGACUGGGAUAACUUCGGGAAACCGGAGCUAAUACCGGAUAAUAUUUUGAACCGCAUGGUUCAAAAGUGAAAGACGGUCUUGCUGUCACUUAUAGAUGGAUCCGCGCUGCAUUAGCUAGUUGGUAAGGUAACGGCUUACCAAGGCAACGAUGCAUAGCCGACCUGAGAGGGUGAUCGGCCACACUGGAACUGAGACACGGUCCAGACUCCUACGGGAGGCAGCAGUAGGGAAUCUUCCGCAAUGGGCGAAAGCCUGACGGAGCAACGCCGCGUGAGUGAUGAAGGUCUUCGGAUCGUAAAACUCUGUUAUUAGGGAAGAACAUAUGUGUAAGUAACUGUGCACAUCUUGACGGUACCUAAUCAGAAAGCCACGGCUAACUACGUGCCAGCAGCC
RNAcentral lists this ribosomal RNA (533 nucleotides) under Staphylococcus aureus. RNAcentral describes it as "bacterial SSU rRNA". It matches the Rfam family "Bacterial small subunit ribosomal RNA", at positions 1 to 516 of the family's 1533-position model. Lineage: Bacteria; Bacillati; Bacillota; Bacilli; Caryophanales; Staphylococcaceae. The record is from RNAcentral.